GCUGGGCAUGGUGGCUCAUGCUUGUAAUCCCAGCACUUUGGGAGGCCGAGUCGGGUGGAUCACCUGAGGUCAGGAGUUCGAGACCAGCCUGGCCAACAUGGUGAAACCCCGUCUCUU
Molecule: unclassified non-coding RNA, 117 nt
Organism: Pongo abelii (Sumatran orangutan)
Lineage: Eukaryota; Metazoa; Chordata; Mammalia; Primates; Hominidae
Rfam family: Metazoan signal recognition particle RNA
About the family: The signal recognition particle (SRP) is a universally conserved ribonucleoprotein. It is involved in the co-translational targeting of proteins to membranes.
Source: Ensembl